AUACGGAGGAUGCGAGCGUUAUCCGGAUUUAUUGGGUUUAAAGGGUGCGCAGGCGGCCAUUUAAGUCAGCGGUUAAAUCGUGGGGCUCAACCCCAUUCUGCCGUUGAUACUGGGUGGCUUGAUUGCGGUCGAGGUUGGCGGAAUUCGUUGUGUAGCGGUGAAAUGCAUAGAUAUGACGAAGAACACCGAUUGCGUAGGCAGCUGACCAGACCGCAAAUGACGCUCAUGCACGAAAGCGCGGGGAUCGAACAGGAUUAGAUACCCUGGUAGUCCGCACAGUAAACGAUGAAUACUCGCUGUUUGCGAUACACGGUAAGCGGCCAAGCGAAAGCGUUAAGUAUUCCACCUGGGGAGUACGCCGGCAACGGUGAAACUCAAAUGAAUUGACGGG
RNAcentral lists this ribosomal RNA (391 nucleotides) under uncultured bacterium. RNAcentral's name for it is "partial 16S ribosomal RNA". It matches the Rfam family "Bacterial small subunit ribosomal RNA", at positions 523 to 917 of the family's 1533-position model. The record is from RNAcentral.